AAAUAUGAAGCAAUUUUUGCAUUUAGUUUCGACCUAAAAUUUAGACCUUUGUCCUUAUUUU
RNAcentral lists this transfer RNA (61 nucleotides) under Oides maculatus. RNAcentral describes it as "tRNA-Arg". Lineage: Eukaryota; Metazoa; Arthropoda; Insecta; Coleoptera; Chrysomelidae. The record is from RNAcentral.